RNAcentral lists this ribosomal RNA (249 nucleotides) under uncultured bacterium. RNAcentral's name for it is "partial 16S ribosomal RNA". It matches the Rfam family "Bacterial small subunit ribosomal RNA", at positions 94 to 339 of the family's 1533-position model. The record is from RNAcentral.
AGCGGCGGACGGGUGAGUAACGCGUGGGUAACCUGCCCUAAAGUAGGGGAUAACAUUCCGAAAGGGAUGCUAAUACCGUAUAAUAUCCUCUUUACGCAUGUUAAGAGGAAGAAAGGACUUCGGUCCGCUUUAGGAUGGGCCCGCGUCCCAUUAGCUAGUUGGUAGGGUAACGGCCUACCAAGGCGACGAUGGGUAGCCGGCCUGAGAGGGCGACCGGCCACACUGGGACUGAGACACGGCCCAGACUCC